CCUACGGGAGGCAGCAGUGAGGAAUAUUGGUCAAUGGGCGGGAGCCUGAACCAGCCAAGUCGCGUGAGGGAAGACGGUCCUAUGGAUUGUAAACCUCUUUAGGCGGGGAGCAAUGCCGGGCACGCGUGCCCGGAGGGAGAGUACCCGCAGAAUAAGCAUCGGCUAACUCCGUGCCAGCAGCCGCGGUAAUACGGAGGAUGCGAGCGUUAUCCGGAUUUAGUGGGUUUAAAGGGUUCGUAGGCGGAUUUUUAAGUCAGCGGUAAAAUGUCCGGGCUCAACCCGGGCCGGCCGUUGAAACUGGGGAUCUUGAGUGGGCGAGAAGUAUGCGGAAUGCGUGGUGUAGCGGUGAAAUGCAUAGAUAUCACGCAGAACUCCGAUUACGAAGGCAGCAUACCGGCGCCCGACUGACGCUGAGGCACGAAAGCGUGGGGAUCGAACAGGAUUAGAUACCCCGGUAGUC
RNAcentral lists this ribosomal RNA (460 nucleotides) under uncultured bacterium. RNAcentral's name for it is "partial 16S ribosomal RNA". It matches the Rfam family "Bacterial small subunit ribosomal RNA", at positions 338 to 795 of the family's 1533-position model. The record is from RNAcentral.